RNAcentral lists this transfer RNA (71 nucleotides) under Marmota monax (woodchuck). RNAcentral describes it as "tRNA.Ala". It matches the Rfam family "tRNA". Rfam says of the family: Transfer RNA (tRNA) molecules are approximately 80 nucleotides in length. Lineage: Eukaryota; Metazoa; Chordata; Mammalia; Rodentia; Sciuridae. The record is from RNAcentral.
GGGGUUGGGGUUCAGUGGUAAAACACUUGCCUAGCAUGCAUGAGGCACUGGGUUCAAUUCUCAGCACCACA